AACGCGCAGAACUUUACUUACCCGUGAUAUGCCAGGUCUGGUGGCAAGAGAUUGCUUGGUUGAUUCGUUCGCCGGUGCACACGUGUUUCAUGUCAGUCGUCAGCUUGUGUCGUGAGAUGUUGGGUUAAGUCCCGCAACGAGCGCAACCGUCAUCCUUAGUUGCCAUCAGGUUUGGCCGGGCACUCUAAGGAAACUGCGGGUGGCAAGCCGGAGGAAGGUGGGGAUGACGUCAAGUCCUCAUGGCCCUUACGGGUAGGGCUACACACGUGCUACAAUGGCAGUGACAAUGGGAUAAUCCCCAAAAACUGUCUCAGUUCGGAUUGUGGUCUGCAACUAGACGGCAUGAAGUUGGAAUCGAUAGUAAUGGUGGAUCAGCAUGCCAGGGUGAAUACGUUCCCGGGCCACGUACACACCGCCCGUCACAUCAUGGGAGUUGGUUCUACCCCAAGACCGUGCACCAACUUUGGAGGCACCGGUCCACGCUAGGAUCAGCGACUGGGACGAAGUCGUAACAAGGUAACCAAGGGCGAA
Molecule: ribosomal RNA, 531 nt
Filed under: uncultured organism
Description: bacterial SSU rRNA
Rfam family: Bacterial small subunit ribosomal RNA
Source: RNAcentral